RNAcentral lists this long non-coding RNA (14381 nucleotides) under Nicotiana benthamiana. RNAcentral describes it as "long non-coding RNA (NBEN_LNC018262)". Lineage: Eukaryota; Viridiplantae; Streptophyta; Magnoliopsida; Solanales; Solanaceae. The record is from RNAcentral.
UUGCCAUGAGUAUCCGACUCUGAGUCGCCCAAAUCUAUUCAAACCAAUUACAUAACGUAAAUAACAUCAAAUGUAACUACUUACACAGUUAAAAUUAAAUCUAAGGCGCGAAAAUAAAUGAAAUAACAAAAAUGCCCCUCUAGUCAACGUCUUAGAAUCAAAUAAUUUUAACAAUUUCAGAAACCUCGUACUCUCACGAGUCUAACCAUAUAAAAAUAUCCCAAAUCGGAGGUCAAAUGCCCCUUCAAAUCAUCAAAGUUAGGUCUAAGAACUUUACCCCAAAUUUUCAUUCAAAAAUCGAAUUGAAGGUUGGAUUUGAGAUUAAAUAAAUGGGUUUUAGUCAUAGAAGAGUAGAGAAUCGUUACCCAGUGAUUUUCUUUGAAAGCCUUCAAAAUUGCUCCCCAAUCCGAGCUCCCUAACCUUGAGUUUUGGUAAAAAUUGAAGAAAGGUUCGUUUUGAAAUGUUUAUAUUCAGCCCAGUGAUUUGCUCUAUGCGAUCCCGUGAGAUGGAAUGCGAUCGCGUAGAAGGAAUUCUGAAGGCCUUGAAAAUGAACUAUGCGAACGUAUCCAAAGAAGUGCGAUCGCAGAGAAGAACCAAACGGGGAUAUGCGAUCGCAUUCAAGGUUGUGCGAUUGCGUAUAAGAAAUCGGCCUUGAUGCCCAGGUCCUAAAAUACUCUAUGCGAACACGGGUAACGGGAUGCGAUCGCAAUUUAUGAGGGAACAAAGGUAUGCGAUCACAGAAGGUUUAAUGCGAUCGCAUUGAAGGAAAACAUGCCCAGCUCUAAGGACUCUAUGCGAUCGCGGGAGAGUCUAUGCGAUCGCAUAGAAGGAUUUGUUUGCAACACCAACAGCAGAAAUCUGCAACACUUAAAGUUCCGGAAUUGCUCCGUUGAGCAUUCGAAACACACCCGAGGCUCCCGGGACCUCAACUAAACCUACGAAUAUAUCCCACAACAUCAUUUGGACUUGUACCGAUCCUUAAACCACCUAAAACAAUGCCGCAAACAUGAAUUAAGCAAUGAAUUGGACUUAGAAAUUUCAAAACUUAACCAAACUCGCUUUCAACUCAAAACAUAUCCAAAACACGUCCGAAUGACCUGAAAAUUUUCAGACAUAUCCUAAAUCACCUAACUAAGCCACUGCAACUCUCGGAAUUCCAUUCCGAACCUCGGAUAAAAAAUUCACUUUCAGACCGGAACUUCAAAUUUCUAACUUUCGGCAUUCAUAGCCUAAUUGAGCUACCGACCUCCAAUAUACAUUCUGAACCUGCUCCCCACCCCAAAAUCACCUAACGGAGCUAAUAUCACCAUCAGUUUUAAAUUCUUAGUUUUUGCGAACCUCCAAAAUACAUUCCGAACACGUUCCCCACCUCGAAAUCACCUAACGGAGCUAACGGAAUCAUCGGUUUUACUUGGGAGGUCGUCUUGACAUAGUUCUGAUUACGGACCAUUUUCCAACACUUAAGCUCUCAUUUAGGGACUAAGUGUCCCAAAACACUCUGAACUCUAUUAUCGAACAUCCCGACAAACUAAAAUAGCAUAAAUAAACUUAGGGGAAGCAGAAAAAUGGGUAAACGGUGCAUAAAUUCAAAAGACGACUAGCCGGGUCGUCACAGUGGGGAGGGGGGAUAUUUACAGUUUUAGAGAAGCUUAGUUUUAUAAAUUGAGAAAGGGUUAAAAAUUUAAAAAAAAAGGCUAUUUAUGCAAUAUUUCUGUUGGCCAACGGACCAAAUCAAGGUCUGACCGAUGCCAACGGUCAGUGGAGCCCACAAGUUUUGAAAAUUAAAAAAAACUAGCCGUUUGAACCGGGCUGGUCCGGGCCGGUUAAUCCGGUAAGAGUUACUGUUCCCUCUUCUGGGUUCAACCGGGCCGGUUACCUGUUUUCAAAAAAAUAAACGGACCAACCCCCUACCCGGCCCAGCCCAGCCCCCUCUAAUCGGUCCGGGUCGGUUCCAGGUUCAGCCGGUUUGGGCCAGUCCAGAACCGGGUCAACCCGGCUCGUUUAACACCCAUAUGCCAAUAUUACUUUCUAUGACUUCCUUAAGCUCGCAUCCGUUUUUAAACUAUAUACCUUCUUUGUAAGUAUUAUGUCCUAAUACACAAUAAGCCGACUCAUUUAACACUAAUUAAGCAUAAUAUAAAUAAUUGGUCUUAAAUUUAGUCUAAGUUCUAUGGAGGUACUUCGGGUAGAUUUUAAGGAGUACCUAACACAUUCCCCUAAAGAACAAGAACCCUUACCAUUAAUAUCACCGGUUAGCAGACUAAUAUAGAAUAUGACUUUAGUAAUUAAAUAGGUACCCUAGCAUACGUUAGAAUAUCAGGUGGCAACUCUCUUUCAUCAACGACAGAAAAAUCACAAGUUAAAUCUUAUUUUGACUAGUACAAAAUAGGGUACAACAACACUUACCUUAUUUUGUACAAUCAUCUCAAUAUUUUUCAGUUAUAUGCAAUUGUUCUAAUAUUUUUUUACCUGAUUUGAGAUUUCAAUCCGCAAUUCUUAAUCAGCAGUCAAUAAUAAAAAAAAUUUCCUUUAUUUAUCAUUUUAAUUAUUUUUUUUAUUCUCAUAUUUUUGGGUAAAUGAAGUAAAUUUAGUUAUCUGUAAUUCGAUUUCUUUAAUAUUGCUUUGCUCGCUAAAACUAUUUUUGAGUUACACAUUAAGGAGAACACAAAAUAUUGGAGCAAAUAAAGAAAAUUGGAAUGUACUAUAAUAGAAAAUCACGGCGAUGGUAAACCUGCAAAAAAGUUGGAGGUUUUACCGAUAAAAAGAGAGAAGCCGAAAGCCGAUUCAAAAAAAUCUUUGUUAUGCAUUAAAUUGUUUACAAGCUUUUUUAUUCCUCUACACCCUCAUUAUAGCUUAAUCAAAAUCCAUCACUACUUAUAGGAAGCUUAAUUAUGAGCCGGGCUAAUAUUUCGAGUAUUAUAAGUGAAUUUAUUCUUUUCUUCUAAGAAGAUUGCGCAUAUGUUUGUAAAACAAAUUAUAAAUGAAAUCUCGAAAGAGAAAACUCAAAAGUUAGAUUCAAAGUCCGGUAGCAUUCUGUGUAUGCCAAUAAAAAUGAGUAUAUUUGUGCAUUUUAUGGUGGUUGUAUAACAGUGAGAGUAGGUAGAAGGUGUCAAAGAAGGUAGGUGGGUCUUAGCUUGGGGAAGAUGAUGGAGUGCAGGCUCUAUUGAAGAGUGGAAUCGAGUAUGAUGGAUUCUUCCUGUGACGUAGUAUUGUGGGAAAAGGGUUAUCUUAUAGAGGAUUUAAUUAUUAGGGAAAAAUCAUGGGAUGUUAUUAAAUACCGAUUAUGGAUAUAUUGAUGGUUUUGGAUGGGGGUGAAAGAAGAAUUGAAGGAGAAUUGAAGAUAUUAAAGGAGCGGGUAAAAUAGGGUAGGGGUAGUGAGGUGAAAUGCUAUACAGCGUCCACCUCACCCAAAUAUAAGGCCACAUGGAUUGGGUCCUUACAAUGGUGGACUUCUGCUAAAAAUAUGAGCAUAUAUGAUAAGUUUGGUGAUUAUAUGAGUAUAUUUGUUUGUAAAGUAUAACUGAAGUUUAAUGUAGAUAAUAUUUAAAGGUAAAGAAAUAAUGUUGUAAUGGCCCGACUGGUCGUUUUGAGAUUUAGCGUUCCAUUCGUUAGUUUGAGACUUUGAAUAGCUUUAUAUUAUGUAUUAUGACUUGUGUGCAUGGUUGGUUUUGGUUUUCAAGCAGUUCGGGAUUGAUUUGGAAGAAUGAUUCUCCUUUUAGAAGCUUCAAUUUGGAAGAGUUGGCCAAGAUUUUGCUUUUGGGUAAACGCACUCGGAAUUGGGUUUAUUAUUCCAAUAAGCUUAUAUGAUCAUUUUGGACAAGUCCACAAAGUUUGGUUAAAUUUCGAUGAGUUUUGGAUAAGUAUGAGUAGUUUGGUGAUUGCUUUCGGUUUCAAAGUCGAUUAGAGCAUAAAGGUUACCAUAUUGAGCAAACGACCUUUGAUUUGUAUUUUGAUUAAACCAUUAUAUCCAUAUCAUAAUUUUGGAACCUUAUCAACUAAAAUCAUCAAGUUCGACAUCGUAUAAGGAAUUUAUGACUAUUUUACAAAGAAUUGGGUUUGCCAUAUUUUUUAGAUUAAUUACAAAAUUACCACUGAAUUCGUAUUUAAAAAUCUACUCUAUUUUCAAAUAUUGAAAUCAACAUGCCUCCUUCAUUAUAAGGUCAAAUAGAGUUAUUCAAAAGCCUAACUUGACUGGAAUUUCCCGAAAAAUCCAUUAGAGGUAUCAAUAGCGAGUUUCGGGAUCGUUUGGCAAGGAAACGAGGCAGAGCAGUUGGGGCAAGAGUAUAUAAUAUCGAGAGUUUGUUCAUUUGGUCAAAUUUUGAGUAGGGAAGCACGGAUUUGAGCGAUUUUGUUGGUGAUUUUUACCACAUGGAUUGGACUAACUGUUAUAUAUUUGGUUUUGGUUAUAUUUCAUGAAUCCAUCUGCAUUUUCGACAUUUGAUUUAUAAUUUCAAAGUGAAAUUUGAGAAUUUUUGUCUAAUCUUUUAUAAAGUGAAUUUUUCAAUUUGGAAUAUUGAUUCAGAGUUGAGUUUGAGUGAACUAGUAUGUUUGGACUCGUAAUUUGAUGAGUUGUCAGAUUUAGUGAGAUUCGCCAGGCUCCAAGGUACGAGCUUGGGUUUGACUUUAUGGUUACUUUAGGCUUUUGAUUAAAUAUUCAACCUGCUUUUGGCUAGUAUCAAGUCGUUUGGAGGUUGGUACGCACGAGAUAUUAUUUCUAGAGUAUUGUUUGGCUUACUCGGUAUUGGAUUCGACUUGUUAGAGGUAAGUAAAACUUCUGAACUUGGUGUUGAGGGUAUGAAUACUUGAACAUACAUGUUAUGUGUUUAGUGUUGAGGUGACACACAUGCUAGGUGAUGGGCAUGUGGAUGUGCACCGUGUGGAUUGUGAUUCGAUCGAUUUUGUGAUACUUGUAUAGUUACCCAAUCUUGUUUCUGUUUAUAAAACUUCUACGUGUUGGUGAAAUUGAGAUAUUAAUCAUGUUAGAAAUCAUGUUUAGGCUAUAUGUUUAUUAUGUUGGGACCAAAUGAGGUCAUCUAUGUUGUUGCGUUAUUUGAUUAAAUUGCAGUUACAUACUCGGUCAUAUUCAUUCAUUCGCAUAUCAUAUUUCAGUCUCUAUUAUCCUUUGUUGUCAUAUCAUGUUAUCAUUGUUUGGUUUGAGGCCAAUAGGCUGGAGAGCUUGAUGACUGAGUUGAGGCCUGAUAGACAUGUUGUGAGAAAUAUUGUGGAUCUGGCUGCACAGUGUUGCAGACCAUAUUGGCUUUUUAUACUAUUAUUAGUAUUAUUAUAUGGAUCAGGCUACACGCCGCAACAUGCCUUAUAGUCUUUAUUAUUAUUGACGUGAUUGUCUGCAUGCCAUAGCAGGUUUUAUUUAAUCAUUAUGGGAUCGAGUUGCACACCGCAACAUCCCAUGUUGUCUUAUAUUAGCGCUUAUGCAGGAUCUGCCCCUCUGGAGUCUGACAUAUCAGUAGUGAGCGCAUAUAUCGUGUAGUGCUAAGUGAUUGAGUGUGAUGAGUGAGAGUGCGAGACACUGAGAUUUUGAGUACUCUGAGAGUGUAAGCACAUGAGUUCAUCACUAUGACACAUUGCAUUUGACAUGCAUACUUGACAUAUAAGCAUAGAGAUGCACUUCCUCAUGCUACAUGGUUUUGUGACAUUCAUGACUUUACAUGCACAUUAACAUGUAGGCAUAGAGAUGUACUUUACUCGUGUUAUCUGAGAAUGAAAUAUCUUAUUUUUUGUUGAAAGUUUUUGGGAAUAAUCAUAGUUUUUUUUAUUUUUUCAUAUUUUGGUGAUUUAAAUAAAAGAUUUGGGUUUUACUAUUAUACCUGAAAAGCAUGUCUAUUUUCUGUAACUGUGAACAAGUUGACCAUCAUAUCGUUGAGUUAUUACUUUUACUGCCUUUAUUAUAUUGUUGUGAGUUGUUCUUGGCUAUUGAUGUUGGAUUCUAACCAUUGUCCAAGAUCGUCACCGCUUAAAGUUUAGUUUGUUACUUAUUGAGUACAUAGGAUCAGUUGUACUCAAACUAUACUUCUGCACCUUGCGUGCAUAUUCUUUUGGAGCUUAUGUUGUUGUGUAUGGUAGGUCUGGCAUUGAAGAUGUACUUGCGUUCUAGUUAUAGCUUCCUCUUGUUCUUGGAAUCUUUAGAUUUAUAAUUCUAUUUAUGUAUAUUUCGAAUAGAUGAUGUAUUUACUUAAUACCAGCUUUGUGAACUCUAAAUCUUAGAAGCUCAAGAUUUGUAUUGCCAGUCCUUGAAAGUUUGUAUAAAAAUUUGAUUAUUUUAUCAUUUUUUAGUAAAUCUCAUUUGAAUUGAAUUAUUGUAAAUUGUCUUACCUAGCGGGUUGGAUUAGGUACCAUCACAUCUAGUUAGAUUUUGGAUCAUGACAAGUUGGUAUCAGAGCUCUAGAUACAUAGGUUCUAUGAGUCAUGAGCAAGUGUCUAGUAGAGUCUUACGGAUCGGUAUGAUAAGGUCCAUACCUAUCUUCGAGAGGCUACAUGUCCUUUAGGAUAAACUUCCCAUCUUUCUUUCCUUAUCGUGCAACAUUGAUUCAGGUUGAAGCUUAUCUAUUUGAAUUCCUUUCCUCACUCGUAUGGCAUAUGAGCAUUUGGUAUCAGUUGUACAUCAACGAGAUGUGUUUUGGUGAUGGGCCAGUUUGGAGGACUUGAGGCAUGGUUUGGACUACAACUUAGGCUCGGUAGUUUCAGUUGUGUGAUUAUGUGCUAUUAGACUUCUAUGUAUAGUGGUAUCCCUAUGAGUGGGACUGGUGGCUAGGUGAGUAGUUGGAUGGCUAUAUGAUGAGUAGGAUAUGAAUGCAGGAUGUGUUUAGAUGGUUUGAAUGUGACAGAAAGAGUUUGCUUGAGAUAUGAAAAGGACUAUUAGAUGCUCGAUUUCUGUGGAUGUGUCAUAUAGUCAUAAGUUUUGAAGGUUUUUGAGAGAUUCUAUCAUGCUAUUUCAUUUGUGAAAUGGAGUAGAUUUUCAUUUCUUGUUGAUGAGUUCAGACUCAGAAGAUUAAGUGAUUGCAUAGUAAAUGUGGCUGUGAAAGGGUAUACAGAGAUGUCAGUCGGGGGCUAAAUAUGUGGUUUAUCACAUGCGGGGUAAUCUACGAAUGUGUGAUUCUUAUGAUGUUUUGUGGAGGCUUUAUUUUCUACCAAUGGAUAUAGGUGUCGCACUUUGAGUUUGGAUUGGUUGAGAAAGUUGACCUGACAGUCACUAGGAUGAAUGAAAGCUUAGCAGAUGAUUUGAGGUACUAUAUGGUUUAUGUUAUAUGAGCUUAUGAAGUAUUUAGUUGAAUAUCACUACGGUAUUAUGGAAUUAAUAGAGUAUGGGAAUUGGGAGAUAUCGAGCAUUUUGAUCUACAACUUUGGGUCAAGUGUGGGAGUCUACUAUCAACGAUUUGAUUACAUGGUUACGUGUAGUAUUGGUUUCGGUCUGAGUCAUACUUGUAGAUCGAUUAUGACUUGCAGAGGCUGGCUUUGAGGAUGACUUGAGCAAGGAAAUUUCUAGGUUCAUGGUAUAUUACACUCUAUGGGUAUAUGGGAAUCAUGGAGUGAUUGAGUUAUUAUUCGUGAAGGAUGUAGUACGCAUGGAGUAGGAAUUAGCUCAGUUGCAUUAAGGCGGGGCUACUUCUUUAGGUGUUUCCGUGCUAAUAGGGAACAUUAUUCGGCAUGUUUAGGUAGUACAAUUAAGAUUUGAGAAGAGUGGAUGACUCUUGAGAAGGUUCUAAUGGAUUUAAUAUUUAUAUGUAGCAAUUGAGAGUGGAUUUGUAUAUGGCUAGAAUCUGAAAUUUACAUUGGAUGGUGUUGAGACUUGCAGUAUUUCUAUAUCAUUAUGGAUUCUACAUUUCACUACCAAUAAGGUAAAGGAAAUGACUUUAGAUUAAUAGAAGGUCUCCUUAGAGUGGGUGUCUCGGUUGUGGUACUUUUGGGGUGCUUAAGAAAGGAAUACAUCGACUUAUGGUCCGUAAGGCGGUGUGGUUUAUGCAAGGAUCUCUUGUGGUGUGCUUUGGCUAAGGAUCGUAGUGUUAUAGCAAGCAGAAGUGUCAAAUUGAGGGUAAUUCAAGAGGAACUUGGAGAAAUAGGACAGUUUGGUAGUAGGUUGAAUUGGCACGGUAACAGAUAUGAUCGUUUCUUUGGUUACUUAUGAUGUGGUGAGCCUCUACAGGUUUUUUGGAGCUUUGGGCGAGUUUGAAGAGAAAAAUCAAGGAUACAUCAUUGAGGUAAGGCUUUGGAUUAUGAAAACUCAUUUUUAUGGUAUUAAUUCGCGGAUUAGAGCUGUAAUUAAGGGUAAAAUUAGAGAACUAGGGCUUAGAAACUUAGGCCUUUGAUUGAGGAUUUGAAAGACCGUUUGUAAUCUAAUUUUGGAACUUUUGAUAUGUAUGAACUCGUGGGGAGAUAAGGAAUCUAAAGAUGCAAAAUUUAUUAAAUUCUGAGACGUGGGCGCGGGGGUUAGGUUUUGGUAAUUUCGGGACUCGCAUUGUUUUUCGAUUAUUUUCGAGUAGGCUUGGUCGCUUUAGCAUAUUUUGAUGAUUACAUUCUGAUUUUGGUAGAUUCAAAGCAUCCAAAGGCCAAUUCGAGGGGUAAAGGCAUUGUGAGCAAGAGUUUGGGCCGGAUUGAGGUGAGUAAUGAUUUUAAUUGCUAUCCUGAGAGUAUGAAACCCCAGAUUACACAACGUUCAGCUAUGUUGAGGUGACACAAAUACUAGAUGAUAAGCGUAGGGUCGUGACAAGUUUGUAUCAGAGCCCAAGUUACAUAGGUCUCACGAGUCAUGAGUAGGUUUAGUAGAGUCUCGCGGAUCGACGUCUAUAUUUAUCCUCGAGAGGCUGCAGAACUUUUAGGAAAAAUUCCAUAGUCUUGAAAUUCUUGUCGUGCGAAUUUGUUGAUUCGGAUUCUCUAUGUUUAUAUUUUCUAGCUGCCUUUCAUUUACUUUUUUAACUAUUAAAAAGGUGUUUUAAAGAAGCUUAUACUGAACUAAGGUGUUUUGUGAGAUUUCAUUAUUUUAUCACUUUAUUGGUUUUACUCUGCCUCUUUAUAGCAUGUUAUUGUAUAUUACGUGAUUUCUUAUCGCUCAAUCAUCAUUUAUUGUUAUUACUCACUGAGUUAGAGUACGCACUUUACUCACUGCACCAUUUGUGUAGAUUCGGGAGCUUCAGGUCCUGCUAGCGAGGGUUGAUAGCUUCCAGCAGAUUUUCGAAGUCCACUAGGUAGCUGCUUGGCUUACGCAGCCCAGUGUUUCUCCCUCUUAUCAUUAUUUCUUUCCCUUGAACUAGAUUUUGUAAUAGAGUGUGCAUUCCGUUUUCCAUAUUCCUAGACUUAUGUUAUAAGCUCAUGACUGGUGAUACCCGAUGUUGGGCUGUGUUGGUUGUUUUUUCGUGGUUGAUGUAUUCUACUCUAUAUUAGGGUUAUACUGUUAUUUAUGACUUGAUUAUAAAUCUUUAUAUAUGUUAAUUAAUUUGGGGUAUGUGUCGACUGGCCUUGUCUUCACGAGAGGGCCCAUCACGACCGAAUCUAGAUUUAGGGUCGUGACACUUACAUGUGGAAAUUUGACCGAUUUAGAAUCUUAGGCUUCUUUGAGCAUCAAAUUGAAGUUUCCCUAUCAUGUUAUGUCCUCUACAGUUAGAUUGACUUUUACAUGUUUUUCUUUAAGUUGUUAGUACAUGUUUUAUCUUUAUAGUCAAAUAUACUCUUAUAUGAUUUAAUUGAAGUUGUUUUCUCUUUUAUUGACAUAUUAUUUCUUCCAUUAUUGGUUACUCUUAUUUACAGUCAUUGUCACAUGUUAUCUCUCUAAUUGUUGAAUUAUUCUUAUUUGAGGUCAUUAUUGCUUGUUCUCUUUCAUUAUUGAGCUUAUUCCUCUAUUUCAUUGCGUGGUUAUAAAUCUUGUGUUGAUUUACUUAUUGUACUUCCGUGUUAUUGUUGCUGUUGUACUUGGUGUUGUUGACUCAUGGUCUAUGUAUAGUUGUGGUAUCGAAAUUGUUGUUAUGAAUAUGUUAUGGAAAAUAGGUAUAUAUGGGGCUAGUUGUUACAUUGUGUUGUUACGAUUUUUUCCCAUAUGGGAUUGUUGAGAAGAUUGUCGAGGUGUUUUGCCAAUGAAUUGUUCGUGCCAUUACUAUUAUUUAUUUUACACAUGCAGCGAGACAAGGCGGGCUGUACAUAUAUGUUGGGUUGGCUUAUGUGGCGAGACAAGGUGGGAUAAUUAUCUAUUCACGUGUGGCAAGAAAAGGCGGGCAUUUAUUUUAUUGUUUCGAACACUGUGAGAUAAGGUGGGCUAUAUUCGGGAUGAUAUGUGAUAGCUUAGAGGUGUUGUUAUUGAUGAUAUUUGUGCGGUGGUGUGACCUUCUUGUGCGUGUCAUGUAUAUUAUCAGUUUUGUAGUGUUGUUUCCAAUGUGCUACUCGGUGUCUCUAAUUUUUUUACCUGUAGAUACACUUGCACAAGCAUACACUGUAACAGGUCACCUAUAUCAAUCCAGGAGUAUGAAACUUGAUAUUUAUUGAUCAUGUACAGGUAUUCUUUUAUGCAUGCCUUCUGUGCGUGGAUGGGAUUAUUGGCACAUAAAUUGUCCGUGUGGAUGUGAAGUAUUAUAACUAUUGGCAUAUGAGUCAUCUAUGUGGAUUUGAGGUAUUAAUGGUAUUGGCACAUCAAUGAUAUGUGCAGCACGUGAGUUGUCCAUAUGGUUAAGAUAGGUAAUGUGGGCACAAGAUGUUACAUGAUUAUGAGUCGUGAUUUGAGACCCGUGACCUAUGAUCAUGAGGUGUAGUACCUGGAGGUGAUUCUUGCAUAAAACUUGUGAAAGAACUGUUGAUUAUUUGGUUGUGUUUUGUUUUCCUUAAUUGGGUUCACAAGUACUUUAAUUAUGUUCUGAUUACUUUCCGACGUUGUCACCUAUUUACUCCUUACUGCUAUUGGUUGCUUCUACUUGCUAUUUUCUAGUGUUAUAUUGUUAUUCUUUCCAUGUUUAGUUAUAUACUGAUAUUGGUUCCUCGUUUAGUUUAUAUUGAUACUUGCACAUGUUACUAUGUUUAGUAGUUGUCUCGAUUGUACCUCGUCACUAUUUUACCUAGUUUAGUCUUGAUAAUUUAUGGGUACCUUUGUGAUGUACUCAUGCUACGCUUCUACACAUUUUUUUUCAAAUACAGGUACCUCUGAGUGUGCCAGACAUUAGCUAGCUGUUGGAAAUUUACUACGGAGACUUCAAGGUAUACCUGCCACUAUGCUUGCAAGCUUCGGAGUCACCUUUUGUAGCUUUACAUUGUCACUGUUUACUUAUAUUUCAAACAAUGAUGUAUUUGAUAUUCUUAAUUACUCUUAGAAAAGCUUAUGACUUCGUAUUAUUAGUUUUGGAAUAUUGUAAAUUUAAGAUGAUUGCUAGCUAUGUAUGGCAAUUACAUAUUCAUGUUUAAUGGUGAAAUGGUUUAAAUCUGUUAAUAACUCAACAAGUAUUAAGUUUAUCUAGUCUUAAAAACUAGGUGCUAUCGCAACAUCCUACAUUGAAAAUUUGGAGUCGUGACAACGAAUUAGACAAGUAAAGCAAAAAAUGUGGGAAAUUUAGCUAAAUAAAGGACCACAUCAAUUAAACUUAACUUUUACAUGAUUUAGCAAAAGGCAAAAUACCUUACCCCCCCCCCCCCAAANNNNNNNNNNNNNNNNNNNNNNNNNNNNNNNNNNNNNNNNNNNNNNNNNNNNNNNNNNNNNNNNNNNNNNNNNNNNNNNNNNNNNNNNNNNNNNNNNNNNNNNNNNNNNNNNNNNNNNNNNNNNNNNNNNNNNNNNNNNNNNNNNNNNNNNNNNNNNNNNNNNNNNNNNNNNNNNNNNNNNNNNNNNNNNNNNNNNNNNNNNNNNNNNNNNNNNNNNNNNNNNNNNNNNNNNNNNNNNNNNNNNNNNNNNNNNNNNNNNNNNNNNNNNNNNNNNNNNNNNNNNNNNNNNNNNNNNNNNNNNNNNNNNNNNNNNNNNNNNNNNNNAAAAUACCUUCCCCCCCCCCCCCCAAAACUAGGCACACAUUAUUUGUUACAUACUUAAACUAUUUGUGGUCUUUAUUACCCCCUAUAUUUGGUUAUUCGAUAUUGGUUACCCCCUUGGACGCUUUCAUUCCAGAAAAGUGACAUGCACUCACCUGCCACGUGAAUUUUUCUGGCCAUGUGGUAUUUUUCUGGAAUACUAAAAUAUAUAUUUUACUCUUUUAAGUGUGUUACUUUUUUAGCUAAUCUUUUACGGAUAAUAUUUAUAAUAAAACUUAGACAUAACUAUAUUAUUUAGGCUAAUUUUUUUUAUUUGGGUAAAAAUAAUAAAGUUUUAGUUAUUUUUUUUAAAAAUUUGACCUGAAAAUAAAGAUUUAUACAGUUGAAAUAAAUAGUCAAGGCAUCAAAAGAGAUAUAAAAUUAUAUAGUUAAACUUUAUUAUUUUGGAUAUAAUUUUUUGUAUAGCUCUAAAUUAUGGAGUUUUAAAAAUAUAAUUUUUUUAUAGAUUUACCUGAAAAAGUAAAAAUACACAGUUGAAAUAAAUAAUCAUUGUCACACCUCCUUUUUACAUCCGAGGGGUAUAUGAGAGUUUUUUCAAUUAAAGUAACAUUAAUCGAAAUGGCAGUAAAUAAUUUAAAUUAUCAUAGUCGCCACUUGAAAUAGUUUAUUUGGUGUCCCAAGUCACUAGUUUAUUUUAAAAUCCCAAUCGAGGAAAUUUCGACUUUAUUUUUAUAGGUCUGCGAACCAGAAAUUCUAGAUAAGGAAUUAUGUUAACCCAUGAGAAGGUGUUAGGCAUUCUCAGGUUACAUGGUUCUAGCACGAUCUCUUAAACUAUUAGUAAUUAACCUAUUAUCUGAUUUACUACACUUUUUAACCCUAUUGUGCAUUUUUGACUUUAUAACCACUUUUAAGGAACUAUUAUUAUAUAGUGUGGACCAUAUCACCGGAAACGUACCCGUGAUCUACAACAUGUUUAACUUAUUAACAGUUAUUAAAAGUUUUGGCCGGGUCACAUAAAUGUACCCCUAAAUUUAAAAGGUAGGUAUCAUAAUUACGUCACGGGAAUCAUACCCGUUGCUAUGAUGAUUUUAUUAUAAACGUGCCUAAAGCAAACUACGAGUGUUUGAAAAGAGGUUUUUCUAUACUAAGUUAAUACUUAACUUGAGUGCCAUAAGUUAUGAGUUUUGUUUGUUUAUGGCAUACCUCAAUUUUAUUUUAACAAGGUUUGUAUUUCACUUAAGCAAAACUAAGAAUACUCAUAUUUUUAUUCCUAAUUUAGAAUUCACUAAGAAUGUUUUAAAUCAAGGACAUGCUUAAGGUGUAAAGGGCUAGGUUUUUAAAAUCACUUUUUUGAAAAGGGUUUGGGCCAGCAAUGGCUCAUUACUUAAUUAAUUUAGGAAAUUCAGUUUUGAAAGUUGUAUUUGGGCUCAGGAUUUGGCCCGUCAGAAAAGAGAUCAAAGACCAUUCACCUCUAAUGUAGUUUUAAUCAAGUUUGCACAUAUUGGGUUAAUAUCGGGCGGGCCCAAUUGUGGUUGUCUAACAUCUGGGCCUAUCCACCUCUACCCUGAACUAUACUUGCACAUUUAUAACAAAUAAGAUUUCAAAUUGCUGCUUAGGUAAAAAUAGAAUUUAAAGAUUAAAUACGAUUCAAAUCUGAAAAUUAAUCAACUGAUAUAAGAAAACGGCAUGGUCCCCAAUUUCCAGCUUUUGUACAUGCUAAUUUGGCCAACUAGUGCCCAAAUCUGCAGGUAGCAGCUCAUGGGCAAACAGGUAAAAAUCAAUUGACUUUAAGUAAAGAGAAGGACAUUCACCGAGAUAAAAGAAAGAAGAGAAAACAUGAAUAAAAUUUCAUAAUCAACAUUAAUAAUCGGAAUAUUUGACUAAUGACAUAAAACAAAGCUAUUUUUGCAAGAUAAAGCUACAAGGUACUCAUGUAUUAACUAGGUUAUUCAUGCUAAAUCACCUAAACUUUAAACUCACAUAGUCAAGACCAAUCAAAUUCAUAUCAAUGUAAGCUACUUCUAGCAUGAAAGAUAUUUAUUUCUACAACUACCAUUUACAAAUCCACUUUUAUACCAUUUCAAAAAUCAUUAAGGCAUUACAAUGAAGAAAAGCUGAGGUAAAUACCUAAAAAUAGCAACAAAACCCAGCAACCAAUAGAUGAUUAAGGUGGUUGAAAGCUUAGAGCAAGAGAGCAGUAAUGGAAACUCAAAAUCAGCAACCAAAAUCAGGAACAAGAUUUCUACUAUCGGCUACAGCAGCUAAAACCAGUAUACCCCAAAGGAAAAGUAGGAAACCCUCAACUUCAAACCAUGUUUCUCAGCUUAUGAAGACCAGAAAAUAAGAUUUUUUGAAUGUUUUUUUCGAAAUCAAAAGCCAAGGAAAUCAACUCUUUUCAAAAUAGUAGCUGAACUUGAGAGAGUAUUUUUUAGGAUUUC